Molecule: long non-coding RNA, 6060 nt
Filed under: Brassica napus (rape)
Lineage: Eukaryota; Viridiplantae; Streptophyta; Magnoliopsida; Brassicales; Brassicaceae
Description: long non-coding RNA (BNAP_LNC024315)
Source: RNAcentral
CCAGUCAAAUAUGAUAUAAAAUAUUAAAUAUGUGAUUAAUUGAUUAUAUGCUUACAGGGGAAUAAACUGAAAACUGAAAAGUCAAUAGUAUUUUGAAAAGUCUUCAGAUGUGGAGAGAUAAGGGUUUGUUGAGGGGAUAAGGAUUAUGAGCAAGCAAAUGGACCAAUAUCCCAAACACCAAUGAAAUGUCUCCACGUGGCGUAAGCUCACUGUUUUUCCUUGUACAUAAUGGAGAAAGUUGUAACGUACCUGCAAUCGGACAAUACCGGAGGAGAACGGAGGAGGUUCGGACUUAAGGUUAGAGACGGCGGUAAUCAAACUCUCCGUCGCUGCCGCUAGCGACGUAACCGUUGAUAGAGAUCUCGUCUCUACCGUACCGAGUGGCGCUUUAUGGCUAGCCUCACACCCGUUCAUGGUCAGCGAACAGAGUAGGGGUCUCUGUCUGACGCAAAAGGUUACUGGUAUAUAGAGAGACACGUAACGCAAAAAAAAAAAACUUUUCGAGGGACACGAUUCGGUGGAUGAGGCUGGAGAAUAGCUUUGGAAGAUCGGAGUGGAGUUAUGUUUUUAUGGUUUGUUCCCAGGAGAUAAGAUGAAAAUUGAAGCGACGCCAUAUAUAUUAAUUAUAGACUAGAGAAUAAUUAAUAUAUAAAGUGUAUAGUCUGUUUAUUUAUUAUCGGUCCCCCCCCCCCAGAAGAGCUAGCCUCCCUCAAGGUCUGUGAUCUUCUACUCCCAGACUCCAAUGAGUGGGAUGUACCCAAAAUUCGAGAAGUUUUGCCUCAGUAUGAGGAUACUAUAAGAUUACUAAACCCCAGUUUUUCAAAGCCUCCCGACAACAAAGUUUGGCUAGGAGAGAAGUCUGGUAUCUACACUUCUAAAUCUGGAUACAAACUGGCUUCUCCUAACAGCGCUACACCCUCCUUCAACUGGAUGCAGAAUGUAUGGAAUGUCGACGCUCUCCCUGUAGGUAACCUACUUUCCUUCAGAGGCAUCUCGAAUGUAGCACCAUGUAAACAUUGUGGAGCAUUGGAAACUAUUAUACACGUCUUGUUCAGCUGCCCGAUAGCCCAACAGGUUUGGGAGAUGGCUCCAAUUUCUAUGCAGGAUUUGGAUCCCUCUGCAUCCUCCCUCCGGCUUUUGCUGCCUUGCACUCUGAAAGCAAUAAACCUUCCUCCCAUAGGCCUGACAGAUUCCCCCUUAGCACCAUGGAUACUAUGGAAUCUAUGGACAGCAAGGAACAAAGCAAUUUUUGAAAACAUGAUUCCUUUGGCUCCAAAAAUUCUGGUCAAAGCUUUAAUUGAAGCAAAGGAAUGAGAAGCAGCUAACCUGUCAAUUCCGAAACCACAGAAAGUCCUUUCCCUUCCACGAAGUCGAUCCAGUGAAGAAUCUCCCACUUGUUGGGUUGAUGGAGCGUGGGAUGUCGCUUCUCAUAGUGGAGGCUUUGGAUGGAUUAUUAAAUCGGCAGAUAACACUUCCAUAUGUAAAGACUCUGCCUCAAGAUCUUUUGUAGGCUCCGCUCUUAUAGCUGAAGCUCUGGCAGUAAGGCACGCUCUCCGCGCAGCAGCAUCCUUAGGUCUAACAAAUCUCAAUUUGUUCUCGGACUCCCUAGUCCUCAUUUCAGCCCUCUCGACAGGUCCGAUUUGAACGAGAUCGCGGGUCUCCUUUGUGACAUAAGGGUCCUUGCCUCUCUCUUCAACCAUUUAUCGUUUUUACAUGUCUCUCGUACUUGUAAUAUUGUAGUAGACUCCUUUGCUAAAUCAGCCUUGGCAAAGCUGAUUUCAGACAUCUCCCUUGUUGGAGCCCAGUAGUUGAAUUAAUGAAAUUUCCUUUCCGUUCAAAAAAAAAGUUGAAUGCAAUAUAGCUGACAGGCUUUAAAAAUUCAAAUAUUAUGUAAAGGCAAUCUCCUCGCUAGCGUUACUUCUUUUCAUACUUUAAUCAUGCAUUUUAUAGCAAAGUCAUUUUUUAUCGCAAUGAUCGUCUCUUUACUCCGCAUUUGCACGCGUAAAUGCUUCUUUUUCCUAUGGUAAAUAUGAGCCUCAACACAGGUUCAUGUCAUAUAGAUAUCUCUAUGUUGAAGAAUGAAUGAAUUAGAGAUUUAUCUUUUGUUUAUAUUGAAGUUUUACGUUAAAUCUAAUCUGAAAUUAUGCUAUAACUUUUAAAGUGAGAGGUAGAAGAAUAUUUAUAUUGAUUUCAUAAUAAAAAGGUGUCGUUUAAAUUAUUGGUACUGGAAUAAAGCAUUUUAAUUUUAUAGUGAGAUAUGAUUGUAAGAACAACUUGAAGAGAAUACGAUUGAUGGGAAGAGGUCAGGUUAACUUUUGGAUCACAGUUUAGACCCAUCUUUCUCGUUUCCUAUAAAUAAAUACUAUAAACUAAAAUGUCUUUUUGUUGGAUUAACGCAAACUUAAUUUAAAAAGAAACCAAUCACGUUCUGGAAACAAUAUUUUGAAAGUAUUUAUUCCACUAGCACUUACUGAUAAUCAGAUUAAGUUCAAUCGUUAUAAAAAUAACUUGUCGUUUUCUCAUGAAUGUGGUGGAAAUAUACGUCAGCUUUAGAUCAUAACGUGCGUAAGUGCGUUAUGGACCUUACUCUCAGUUUAUAGGAUUUUCUUUUGGUCAGCAUCAUCAUUAGUUGAUCGUCUGCAAAGCUGGCUCAUGUUCAAGUGUCUUAGUGAACUGCAGAAAACACAUAGUAAUAUGUUAACAAAUUUCAUAAGGACAUGGAAAUUGCACUACUGUUUUGAGAACAAAGUUCCUCACCUGAGAGAUCUUAAGCUCAAGCUCGUUCCACUCAGAGGAUGGAUCACUUCCUGAAACUAUUCCUGUUCCUGCGUAGACCAAUGCUCCAAGACCCUGAGGAACACAACAAGAAAAGAAGAUCAGAUAGAUGCAAUGACUUCACAGUAGAUGUGUUACACUGCGGACAUCUUACCUUUUGCACUAAAGCAGAUCUUAUGCCUACAGAAAAUUCACUCUCUCCACCACCAAAGAAUCCAACAGGUCCAGCAUACAUUCCUCUAUCAAAUGACUCUGGACAAAAAAGAAGUAUAACAUGUACCAAGUUUCAGUAUAUAAGCAUACUUAUAUCAUAUCUAAUCAAGUAUAAGCAUAAGGUAUAAGAAUCAAAGCAUCUUAUACCAAUCUGCUUAAUCAAAAGUCUUGCUUCAUCUACUGGGCAUCCACAAACAGCUGGCGUUGGAUGCAAAGCAUUUAAGAUGUCAAACUGAAAAAUAGACAAAACAUAUAUUGGUGUAAGAUAAGAUAAGAUAAAUUGUAGCUUGCUUCACUCAGUGCCAUGAUGACUAAGAGAAUAUAACAAGAAUUGAGUUCGAAAAGACUAAUGAAAUUAUUUCAGAUAAACCAUGAAGAACAGUAAUCUAACCUCGUCAUCUUCUCUUCUAAGCUGACCAGCCAACUGAGAAUAUAGAUGUUGUAUUCUUGCAAGCUUUCUCACAGUUUUUUGGGGCUUCACAAUUACUCUGUCACAUAUGGCCUAAAAAGCAAAAGAUCAGAUGUGAUUCUGCUAUAUAAAGCUGAUUAUUAUAUGAAAACAAGUGACGUUAUAUUGUUAAAAAGCCUCAAAAAUCAAACUAAAGGCAUGAUUAUACAGUUCUACGGAACUGCGGUUGAUGGAGAACUUACACUAAGUUUUUCUCUUAUAUUCUCUCGCACAAUGGAGAAUUCAAGAUCGUCUUUGGGACUGCAAAUAAAUAAUAUCAGUACGCAUAUCUGGAAGUUUAUAAACAUACUUGCAUCCCCUAAAUGUUAGCAGCACAAAACAAAACAAAACAAAACAACUGACCUGGUUAGUAAGUCACGCUCUAUCUCCAAAUCAGAAACCUCUGAAUCACCUCUAGGCCUGGUUGCAGCCAAAGCCUCACUCCAGACACCUAGAUUUUUCCUAUAGAAGAGUCUCUCAGGCUGCUCCACAAGAAACCAGCACUCGAGUUCACAUCAUUUCUAAAAACCACAGUGUGCUAACAAAUUCUCUAUACAUAAAUAAAUAGCUAGAGUAAGUAACCUACCGUGUUACCUAUGAAUGCUGGUGCACCUGGUGGCUGAAGACAGAACUGGUACGCAUCUUUUCCUUCACACUGUCAUAUUAAUAAUUAGAGAUACUAAUACCUAAAUGUUGUUACUUAAGAGUAAAGAAUGUGCGAGGGAGAAUAGACACCUGCAACCGAGCUAGCCAAGCAAUAGGAUCAAUGUCUGUAUCUGUAAUGAUUCUGCUGCUCCGUGCAAGCACAACCUGAUUCCCAAAACCAAAAUCAUCAGGUUCAUGAAAGAAAGAACAUAUGUUUCUUUAACUAAGUACCUUGCUUAGUGGCGAAUAUUUUUCCUUAAUGAUCUCCAGAGCACUAUUUACAGAAGGAUAAUAGUCUCCUUUACUAGGAACAUGGUUCUUACUAACAACAGAAACUCCUAGUGAUUCUCGCCUUAAUCUCACUAUUACAGAAGAAACCUGAAGCAUAGUCUCCUCAAGUGAUUCAAUGGCAUUGUGCAGCGUCCAUGAGAGCUCAUCCUCCCAAGCAACAGUUGCAGCCAGCAUUGAGCUUCUCUCAAACUCAACAAACUCGACCUAUGUGUAUAUCAACCAAUCAAACGCAUUCAUAAUGGUUACAAAACUCUCUUAAGGCAAACAAAAGUUCUCAUACCUGAGGCACUGUAAAGUAAAAGGAACCAAACUGUUCCCAUUCAACACCAACUUCUCCGUUGGGAUCAAACCGAAGUCCACCGUAGGCACGAAUCAGAGGAGAAUUCGGAGACAGAAACCUUUUCAAGAAACAGAGGAAAGUGACUAAAAACCCAGUGUUCUAAAAAUCGGUCCAAAUGGGAUAUGACUUUUUCAAACCUAUUUUUUCAAAAAAAGGUUUAGGCAUUCAAAAAAUAGGCAUAGGCAGCCGACUAAAAGAUAAUUCUCUAUAAGACGCCUAACCACCGGCUAGCGAUUUUUACAACAUUGUAAAAAACAUAAAGAACCAAACUUUCAUAUAGUUUUGGUUCUGAAAAAAAAACUGUGAUGUUACCUUCGGAUCAAUGUCCAGUGAUCAUGAGAGAAUGGAUCAAGAUCACUGAAAUAUAGAGCAGACCCGAGUCCAGCAACACUGACCGGGUUAGCAUCACAUGUUCCAUUCACAUUCUCGCUAGCCAAGUCCUGUAGCAGCUCUGGACGGCCAGAGUCGCUGCGACGGGAGAAGAAACUGCGAGGAAGAGCAUCAUUCUGUGCAUGAAGCCAGUCGAGUGCCCCGAUUUGGUGGUCCACCGGCACCUGUAAUCCCAUUUAAAACCUUAAAAGGUCUCGAACACUUAUUUUGCGCGGGACAAUUUGGAUAUCAGACAUUUUGUGUAAUUAAUCAUUUUUGUUUGGUAUUUUUCUAUCUUUUAAAUUUUAUAGUUUGUAUUACUACUAUUUUAGUCCUUGAUAUUGUUAAUAAUCAUCUUCUUUUUUUUUUUUUUUGAAACUGGAUCAUCUUCUUUUUUUCCGGCUAAUUGUUAAUAAUCAUCUAUACAAUUAAGUUUAUAUAAAUACAUAAAAAGACUAUUUGAAAGAAAAAAUACAUGAAAUAAAAUUAAAUAUUAAAAUGUGAUUGUAAAUAAUAUAAAAAUGUUAUACUAAAAUAUUUAUAAAAAAAUAUAGUGAUAGCCAGUCAAAUAUGAUAUAAAAUAUUAAAUAUGUGAUUAAUUGAUUAUAUGCUUACAGGGGAAUAAACUGAAAACUGAAAAGUCAAUAGUAUUUUGAAAAGUCUUCAGAUGUGGAGAGAUAAGGGUUUGUUGAGGGGAUAAGGAUUAUGAGCAAGCAAAUGGACCAAUAUCCCAAACACCAAUGAAAUGUCUCCACGUGGCGUAAGCUCACUGUUUUUCCUUGUACAUAAUGGAGAAAGUUGUAACGUACCUGCAAUCGGACAAUACCGGAGGAGAACGGAGGAGGUUCGGACUUAAGGUUAGAGACGGCGGUAAUCAAACUCUCCGUCGCUGCCGCUAGCGACGUAACCGUUGAUAGAGAUCUCGUCUCUACCGUACCGAGUGGCGCUUUAUGGCUAGCCUCACACCCGUUCAUGGUCA